Long non-coding RNA from Daucus carota subsp. sativus, 396 nucleotides. RefSeq lists it as uncharacterized. The record is from RefSeq and is a predicted model, not a curated record. NCBI's taxonomy places the organism in Eukaryota, Viridiplantae, Streptophyta, Magnoliopsida, Apiales, Apiaceae. The transcript is spliced from 3 exons.
AAAAGCCAAAAGAUAGCUACUUUCGUUUUCUUUAUAUACAUAAAAUAAGAGACAUUGGUGAGAGCAGAGGAGGAGAUCAGGAGUAAAGAGUUAAGGAGGAGAUUUUGAUUUCAAAAGAUUUAGUUUAGCAAGAUUGAUUAUCUGGAAGACGAGCUUGAUUAUUCAACUUAAAUUGGAACGUGGUGCACUGAAAGAAUUCUGGAGAAGAAUAUUCAGGCAAGGAUAAAAGUGUGAUGAAAUGAAGUGCUAGACUUGGUUGGAUUUGCAAGUAGAAGUUUAGUAGAAGUAUUAUGUAAUCGAAAGAAAUAUUAGUGAACUUUUAGAAGAGUGAUGUAAGACUCUGAUGUAAGGUAAAAUAUGCUUUUAAAUUAUAUCAAGUUUAUGAUUAUAAAGAUA